RNAcentral lists this ribosomal RNA (433 nucleotides) under uncultured bacterium. RNAcentral's name for it is "partial 16S ribosomal RNA". It matches the Rfam family "Bacterial small subunit ribosomal RNA", at positions 29 to 507 of the family's 1533-position model. The record is from RNAcentral.
AACGAACGCUGGCGGCAUGCCUAACACAUGCGAGUCGAACGAGACCUUCGGUUCUAGUGGCGCACGGGUGCGUAACGCGUGGGAACCUGCCCUUAGGUUCGGAAUAACUCCCCGAAAGGGGUGCUAAUACCGGAUAAUGUCUUCGGACCAAAGAUUUAUCGCCUUUGGAUGGGCCCGCGUUGGAUUAGCUAGUUGGUAGGGUAAAAGCCUACCAAGGCGACGAUCCAUAGCUGGUCUGAGAGGAUGAUCAGCCACACUGGGACUGAGACACGGCCCAGACUCCUACGGGAGGCAGCAGUGGGGAAUAUUGGACAAUGGGCGAAAGCCUGAUCCAGCAAUGCCGCGUGAGUGAUGAAGGCCUUAGGGUUGUAAAGCUCUUUUACCCGGGAUGAUAAUGACAGUACCGGGAGAAUAAGCUCCGGCUAACUCCGUG